AGAGAGGUGGCCGAGCGGCUGAAGGCGCACGCCUGGAAAGUGUGUAAACCGAAAGGUUUCGAGGGUUCGAAUCCCUUCCUCUCUGCCA
Molecule: transfer RNA, 88 nt
Filed under: Gammaproteobacteria bacterium
Lineage: Bacteria; Pseudomonadati; Pseudomonadota; Gammaproteobacteria
Also listed under: 1 other name
Description: tRNA-Ser
Rfam family: tRNA
About the family: Transfer RNA (tRNA) molecules are approximately 80 nucleotides in length. Their secondary structure includes four short double-helical elements and three loops (D, anti-codon, and T loops).
Source: RNAcentral